This 3885-nucleotide long non-coding RNA is filed under the name Equus asinus (donkey). RNAcentral describes it as "lncRNA (ENSEASG00005026530.1)". The record is from RNAcentral. Lineage: Eukaryota; Metazoa; Chordata; Mammalia; Perissodactyla; Equidae.
GGAACCGAAGUAUGCACAGCCUCUUUAUUGCUAGAACCGCUAUAAUUUAAUAUUGAGCUAAUAAUUUGAGUUAAUAUUUAUAAAGCACUUAGAAAGAGCCCAGCACAUAGUAAUAGCUAUCUAAGUUUUCAUUGAAUAAAUAAGGCACUUUCCAGAUUGGUUGGGUGAAUUCUUAACCUAGUGACAAAAUACAGAAUCAAAAUACACAGCAAUCUAAAUUUUUUUUUACCUUGAUAAAGAUUUAGGAACUGUAGUGCUCUGUAUUUAUUCCCACAUUUCAAGUGUACCCUAUAUAGUCUCUUGUGCAGGUCUAAAAUUAUACUCAUGGUUCAGAAAUCAAUGUGCACAAUUAAAUAAUGAAAGAGUUCAAGUUUCAAGAGAUGAAUUCUCUUUCCUCUCUCUCCAAGUAACCACCACUAAAAAUGACAAACUCUAAAAAUCUCAAAGCACUCCUAGAUGUACAGCCGAAUGCUAAAAGUGUGGGAAUAAACAGAGACAAAUUCACUUGAAAAGAGACGGAAAGGGUUCAAAUCACAAGAGAACUUAAGGGAUAGCAAUGGCAUUAAAGUCUCAAGACACCAGGUCCGCUGACAACAGGUUGAUUCCCGUGCCCUCCACUCCCGAGGCCUCCUCCAUCCCUGAUCCUCGCAGGUGACCCGCAGCCACUUUCGACCUCAGGUUGGGGUCUCCCUCCCUCCCCGUUCCCAGCUCCUCUUCGCUCUGAAGGUGCGCACGGGUUAACACUGUCGGUCCACCGACACCACUCGGGCGUUUAGGAAUCAAAAAGCAGAAUCUGAAUCCACCACGGGGAGACAAAGACCACAAACUCUGAGUCGGGUGCUGAGGCGAGGGUAUUGCUUUUCCCCUUCCGACCAACUCGGAGGUUUCCGGGCGGAGGUGCGGAGAGCUGCCAGGGGACCCGGGAAAGUCACGUUUGCUCCGUGGAGCGGCGGCAGUCGAGGCCCGUGACCCCCCGCCGCGCCCCAUCUCACCCGCCCGGGGACCUCGGGCUGCGGUCCGGACGCGCGCGGCCCCUGCCGCCCGCCCCCGCCGUGGGUCGCCGCGGCCCCACACCUACCCGGCUCCGCGGGGCUCCUCCCGGCGCGGCGGGCGCGGAGCCGAGCGCACCCGCGCUUCCUCCUUCCCGGCAGGGCCGCCGGGCGCCGGCGUUUCCUCCCUGACGCGUCACGGCGGCAGGCGGCUCCUCCCGCGGAGGGCGCGGGCGGCCCGGAGACCGGCGGCGGGCAGUGCGCGGGGAAGGCGCCCGCCGCGGAAGCCGGCUGUCCGGCCUCUUCCCGGGGGACCCCUCCGAUCCCGGGCCGCAGCGCGAAGGCCGGCCCGCCUCUCCGUGUGCGCGAAGCUCAGGGACGCCGGGGGUCCUGUCUGGAGGCUCAGACUCCCCGGCGUUUCGCGCUGCUCAGUGUUAGCGACCUCUGCCCGGGGCCCGAGAGCCGCUUGGGCCAAGGCGCCCGGGGCCGGCCAGUGAAGACGACCCUGGUGUGGGCAAGGAGCAGGAGCGCUGGACCGCCGGAGGGAUCAGCGUCGCCCGAGGAAUGGCCUGGCGGACAUGUGGCUGGGGGUCACCUGGAAACUCAAGAGAAGUGAAAUAAAUUUUGAGGCAAUUGUCUGCUGUACACCAUCUGAUUCCAGAGAAUUUGCUACAAAUCUAUGAACAAGUAAACUUCCAGAGAUGAAAUGCCCAGUAGGAGACAUGGACCUCUAUAAAGGAUUGGUUAGCAUGAUAUAGUGGAUCAACGGAUGCUGUAGCCAUGUUGUUUUUGUUUCUGUUUGAAUAACUGGGCUCUGACCCUAAUGAGCUGCAUGACUUGGAGCAAGUUAUUCAACAUCUUUGCACCUCUUCUUCCUCAUCUGUAAAACAGAGACUUUUAAUAGUGCUUACCUCAUGGAUUAAAUGAGCUUAUAUCCACAAACUCUUAGAAUAAUACCAGGCACAUAAGUGUUUGUCAAAUAAAAUGAAUAACACGUACAUGGAUCUCUUGUGUGAAUGCUGGUCUCACAGGCUCAUAAACAAUUCUGAUGAGGUUGUCCCAUUGAGUCAAACUGUCAGGUCUGUGAUUUGAUUUUAUCCUACUUACAAGCCAACAAGUUAGCCUGUUACUGUUUCACAGAUGCUGGAAGAUGACACCAGACAUCUGAGUCAGAGAAAAAGAAGCUUUUAUCUCAAUGCACAGCAUAAAAAGCAUGAACAUCAGAAUGUUUGCAUCAAUUCCUCUUGCCUCCAAGUUCCACAGGAGUGAUGCGAAGGGGCCCGGAUAGAUGCCACACAUGCAGUGGGUUGUGUUGCAGCAAGGAAACAAUGAGCUUGGAGAACCCACUGCUUUUCUGGCAAGCAGCAAGCUCAGCCAGCUCUUUGUCCCAGAGGAGAUGAUACUUCAUCUCUCAAGAUUGCUUGCUGCAAACAAACCAUGAAAAAUGGCUUGGGUAAAGAGUGGUGUGGUGGAAAGCCUGGAAGAUGGCCCAUAAUGGUUCUUGCCUCUGGGUAUUCACUCUUUUGCAAAUCCCCUCCAGUUGACUGUGGGCUGGACUUACCGACUUACUUCUUACUAACUGAAUACAGCACAAGUGACAGGAUGUUGCUCCUGAGGUGAAGUUAUAAAAAGACUGUGGCUUCUGUCUUGGGCACCCUCUCAUGUUCUCUCACUCACUCACUCUGAGGGAAGACAGCUGUCACGUUGUGAGUUGCCUUAUGGAGAGACCAGCAUGGCAAGGAAAGGAUGUCUUUGGCCAACAGUCAGCAAGGACUUGAGGCCUGCUAACAGCCACAUAAGUGAGCUUGGAAGCAGAGUCUCCCCCAUUCAAGGCUGGACAUGACUGCAGCCCUGGCCUACACCUUAUUGCAGCCUUUUCAGAGACCCUGAGUCAGGGGCACCUGGCUAGGCUGCACUCAGCUUCCUAAUCCACAGAAACUGUCAGAAAAUAAAUGUUUAUUGUUUUAAACCUAUGCAGUUUUGGACUAAUCUGUUAUGCAGUAAUAGAUAAGUAAUACAAGUGGUCAGGCCUUGAAUUCUUGGCAUACUGAGCAAGACAUGCAGAGGCAUGAGAGACCCAUAGAUAACCAUUUCCCAACACCAGUGUAAAGCUACAACCCAGGGUAGGCAAUCCCAUCUUCCUUGAAGAGGGUUGACAUGCUUAAUGUCUAGCAUCUAGGAAAGAGGCAGAUACUGAGACAGGAGACUAGAAUUUCAAAGGAAGCCCUGAGCUGAAACCAGCUUUACCAAUCUUGGAGCUAGUUUUCCAAGAAUUUUCCUUGCUUGAGUACAUAAUGCAGGGUAGAAAAAAGUGGCUUCUGCUUUGUGCAUGCAGUAGGAAGCCAGGUAGGCAGGAAUCCUUUUACGGUGUCAAAUGUUGAAAUGCCUACACCACGUUCAGUGAACCAGAUUAUCUAGUUGUAUAUUACUGCCUGUACUCAGUUGCCUUCUGUUCAUCUGGACUCCUUUGUAAACUUUUGUUUAAAUAUUUCCCCGCCGCUUAUCUAUACCCUGGGGAAUUGAGUGAAACGCUUGAGCUACAAUAUUAAAGAAGAUACAGUGCCCCCUGGAGGCCAGAGUGGUAAUGCUCAGAGACCCCCAAGAGGCAGGAGAACCUGGGGGGACGGCAAGGCUCCUUAUAAAUGCUAAUGAAAUAUUUGAUAAAAUUAAAAACCUCUUUGAUUUAAAGCCUUUAAGAAAUUGUUAUGAAAAUUUGUAACUAUGUGUGGUGAUGGAUGUUAACUAGACUUAUUGUGGUGAUCAUUUCAUAAUAUAUACAAAUAUUGAAUCAUUAUGUUGUACCUGAAACUAAUAUAAUGUUAUGUGUUAAUUAUAUCUCAAUUUUUGAAAACUCAUUAAUUCUAAGUAACUAAAAAAUAAAAAUAAGGAAAGAAAG